GUGCCAGCAGCCGCGGUAAUACGGAGGGUGCAAGCGUUAUCCGGAUUCAUUGGGUUUAAAGGGUGCGCAGGCGGAUACUUAAGUCAGUGGUGAAAUCCCGGGGCUCAACCCCGGAACUGCCAUUGAUACUGAAUAUCUGGAAUACGGUUGAAGUGGGCGGAAUGUAGCAUGUAGCGGUGAAAUGCAUAGAGAUGCUACAGAACACCGAUCGCGAAGGCAGCUCACUAAGCCGAUAUUGACGCUCAGGCAUGAAAGCGUGGGGAGCGAACAGGAUUAGAUACCCUGGUAGUCCACGCCGUAAACGAUGAUAACUCGUUGUUGGCGACACACAGUCAGCGACUAAGCGAAAGCGAUAAGUUAUCCACCUGGGGAGUACGAUCGCAAGGUUGAAACUCAAAGGAAUUGGCGG
This 409-nucleotide ribosomal RNA is filed under the name uncultured bacterium. RNAcentral describes it as "bacterial SSU rRNA". It matches the Rfam family "Bacterial small subunit ribosomal RNA", at positions 505 to 916 of the family's 1533-position model. The record is from RNAcentral.